This 207-nucleotide ribosomal RNA is filed under the name uncultured bacterium. RNAcentral's name for it is "partial 16S ribosomal RNA". It matches the Rfam family "Bacterial small subunit ribosomal RNA", at positions 568 to 774 of the family's 1533-position model. The record is from RNAcentral.
CGCGUAGGCGGAUUAGUAAGUCAGAGGUGAAAUCCCGGGGCUCAACCCCGGAACUGCCUUUGAUACUGCUAGUCUUGAGUUCGAGAGAGGUGAGUGGAAUUCCGAGUGUAGAGGUGAAAUUCGUAGAUAUUCGGAGGAACACCAGUGGCGAAGGCGGCUCACUGGCUCGAUACUGACGCUGAGGUGCGAAAGUGUGGGGAGCAAACA